ACAAUGUAUUCCUACAAUGAAUUUUACGCAUCUGAUACUGGAUCUCCUUCAAAAACAGCUGAAUUAUAUCCCCAGUGAAGCACAUGCCUUUUUAAGGAUCCAGUAAAUCAAUACAACCAUGUGCAAUUGCAAGGCCUUGUAUUGAAAUGCCACUGGAGAUUACUGUGUACAGUUUGGCAGUUGGAACCCCCUUGUUGCUGACUAAUAAGAUAUUUUUCCAUCACAAAAGGAUAUUCAGAUUCCAUCAAACUUAGUUUUGGCAGAAUAUUGCAACCAAGCUAACUGGAAAGAGAUCAUGAGCAUGUACAAAUGAAAUAGCGCACAGAGCUUCUACUUUUACUUGCUACCAUCCCUUGCUUCCUAUCGAGGAAAUUAAACUAAGAAGCUUCACUGCAGGCACUACCAAAAUUCAAUAUUUUCUACCAAUUUGCAAGCAGCACUCAAAAGACCUUAAAGAUUGAUAACUAUGCACAAAAGCGAACAACCAAUGUAAGCAUUACAUCAAAUGAUGAAAAAGAUACCAGAAGAACGGAGCACAGCAAAUUCAAUUAGGCAUCCACAUAAACUCCCAAAAAUUUUGCCCCGUCCAAUUGCUAUAAAAGAAUGCACAGAUUCUAAUAGUGAUAACGUAAUCCACAAAUUAUUUCAAACCAUUAAAAAAAAAAUCAAGACAUCGAAAUACAAAAAUUCAAAUAGUCUCAAAAAUUAAACCUACCUCGUCUUCAGCAUUG
RNAcentral lists this unclassified non-coding RNA (731 nucleotides) under Hevea brasiliensis (rubber tree). The record is from RNAcentral. Lineage: Eukaryota; Viridiplantae; Streptophyta; Magnoliopsida; Malpighiales; Euphorbiaceae.